This 624-nucleotide ribosomal RNA is filed under the name Amanita muscaria (fly agaric). RNAcentral's name for it is "LSU rRNA". It matches the Rfam family "Eukaryotic large subunit ribosomal RNA", at positions 58 to 657 of the family's 3401-position model. The record is from RNAcentral. Lineage: Eukaryota; Fungi; Basidiomycota; Agaricomycetes; Agaricales; Amanitaceae.
AAAGAAACUAACAAGGAUUCCCUUAGUAACUGCGAGUGAAGAGGGAAGAGCUCAAAUUUAAAAUCUGGCAGUGUUUUGCUGUCCGAGUUGUAAUCUAGAGAAGUGCUGCCCGUGCUGGACCAUGUACAAGUCUCCUGGAAUGGAGCGUCACAGAGGGUGAGAAUCCCGUCUUUGACAUGGACUACCAGUGCAUUUGUGGUGUGCUCUCAAAGAGUCGAGUUGUUUGGGAAUGCAGCUCUAAAUGGGUGGUAAACUCCAUCUAAAGCUAAAUAUUGGCGAGAGACCGAUAGCGAACAAGUACCGUGAGGGAAAGAUGAAAAGAACUUUGGAAAGAGAGUUAAACAGUAUGUGAAAUUGUUGAAAGGGAAACGCUUAAAGUCAGUCGUGUCGGCCAGGGAUCAACUCAGCUUUCUCUGCUGGGUGUACUUCCUGAUCUGAUGGGCCAACAUCAGUUUUGACUGCUGGAGAAGGGCAGAGGGAAUGUGGCACCUUCGGGUGUGUUAUAGCUCUCUGUCAGAUGCAGUGGUUGGGACUGAGGAAAGCAGCAUGCCGCAAGGCCGGGUCGUUUCGACCACGUUCAUUGCUGAGGAUGUUGGCAUAAUGGCUUUAAUCGACCCGCCUUGA